UUCACUGUCUUAAUUUGUUCACUCUUUUGGUUCGUUCAAUUUUAAAAAUGAAGGGAAAUAUACUAGUGGAAAGAAAAACAAUGAGCACUUUGAAAUGAAUCUUACGCCAAGGAAGGACGGGAAACCUCCAUCUCUGUGUAGGGACAGUAAUAACAUAUGAAGCAACCAAGGUGGAUGCAGCGAGAGAACGAGGAGAACAAUAAAGAACUGAUGUCUCCUCCUUUUCGUAGAGAAGAUCCAUGAUAUCCAUGCACGCCUCAAAAUCGAUAAGUUCCCCAACUUUGGCCACUCCCCUGAAUUGAGCUAGGAGCUCUUCAAGGAAAACAAAAGCAAUAUUUCCAGCACCAAUCUCAUAAUUCAAUACCUUAAAAUUCCAAUAUCUUAACCAUCCGAGUGGAAUUAAAGUUGUGCAACGAACACCAAAAAUUCUAUGAGAUUUACCUGCAAAAAGACCAUCUCUGCUUCCAAGAAAUCUCGAGCUGUAAAAUGUUGUUCUUUGAUGCUUUUAUCUCCCAAGGUCUUCAAACUCUUGACAGACAAUGGACAAGAAUCAUGUAUUUUGCUGGAAAUCCAUGUAGAAACAAGUGCAAAUAGCUGCAAAUUGCUUUGUGUUAUGGGUUGCAAAAGCCAGUUUCCCUUGUUGUGUUGUCCCCCAAACCUGGAGAGAGAAGGAUAGAAUCGAUCAGCGAAGAGAAACAAUGCAGUGUAUUUGACGAUAGGAGCAACUUCAAGUCGCUAUAAAUUUUUUGAGCCAUAAAAAAAAAUAACUAAACUACAUUAUGGAGUGAACAAAAAUUCCAAAUAUAUUGGAGUGUUUGUGUGUGUGUGUUCAUACUGCCAUGAGCUGAUUCGAUGAGGAACUCCACAGCUUGAACUCGGAGAUUGAAGGAGCUGUCGCAAUUCCUCCACAUCGCUGUUUCUCUCUAAAAACUCAAAUAAACGGGAAACGCGCAGAUUUUGGUGUGGAUUUUUGCGGAAGC
RNAcentral lists this unclassified non-coding RNA (980 nucleotides) under Hevea brasiliensis (rubber tree). The record is from RNAcentral. Lineage: Eukaryota; Viridiplantae; Streptophyta; Magnoliopsida; Malpighiales; Euphorbiaceae.